CUGAGAGUGUUUAUAGUGCUGUGAGUUUAACACUUCAUGACUGAGAGCAGAACAGACACAAUCUUCAUCAUCACACAAGACAAAAGAACAACAAUGAACACAAUCACCUUCUUCAUCUGGACUCUGACUCUGUUUGCUCAAGAGUGUAGAGGACAGUACACUGUAACUCAGAGUCCAGCAAUACUAGCAGUUCAACCAGGACAAGAAGUCAGAAUAAACUGUAAAAUCAGCAGUGCAGUGUGUGGUAGUAGUUACCUACACUGGUACUUACAGAAACCUGCAGAAGCUCCUAAACUCCUUAUAUAUGAUGCAACAACCCGUAAUACUGGAACUCCAUCUAGAUUCAGUGGCAGUGGAUCCAGAACUGAUUUUACUCUGACCAUCAGUGGAGUCCAGACUGAAGAUACAGGAGAUUAUUACUGUCAGAGUUUACACUGUCCUGGUAGUAGUCGGGUGUUCACACAGUGAUAAAGAGUGGUACAAAAACCUUGUUCAGUCAGAUGUCACAGUGAUGCACUGAUACAGCUGAGAGAUACUGCAGCUGCUGAUGGAGGAUCACAAACAAUGGUGAAAAAAAGUACACUUUCAUAAUGUACUUUUUAGCUCUAUUUUCUCACAAUACUUUUGUACUUAAUAUACUAAAAAUUCUUCGGUAACACUUUAGAAUAAUGGUCAUUAGUUAACAUUAGUUAACUACAUUAGUUAACAUGAACU
Megalobrama amblycephala (Wuchang bream) is the source of this 714-nucleotide non-coding RNA. NCBI's taxonomy places the organism in Eukaryota, Metazoa, Chordata, Actinopteri, Cypriniformes, Xenocyprididae. The record is from the annotation of a RefSeq genome assembly.